GAUGAAGAACGCAGCGAAAUGCGAUAAGUAAUGUGAAUUGCAGAAUUCAGUGAAUCAUCGAAUCUUUGAACGCACAUUGCGCCCGCCAGUAUUCUGGCGGACAUGCCUGUUCGAGCGUCAUUUCAACCAUCAAGCCCUGCUUGCGUUGGGGUCCUGCGGCUGCCCGCAGGCCCUGAAAACCAGUGGCGGGCUCGCUAGUCACACCGAGCGCAGUAAUACAUCUCGCUUUGGGCGUGCGGCGGGUUCUUGCCGUUAAACACCCCCUUUUUACCAAGGUUGACCUCGGAUCAGGUAGGAAUACCCGCUGAACUUAAGCAUAUCAAUAAGCGGAGGA
This 334-nucleotide unclassified non-coding RNA is filed under the name soil metagenome. RNAcentral's name for it is "partial contains 5.8S ribosomal RNA, internal transcribed spacer 2, and large subunit ribosomal RNA". The stretch from base 1 to 120 matches the Rfam family "5.8S ribosomal RNA", at positions 35 to 154 of the family's 154-position model. The record is from RNAcentral.